This 253-nucleotide ribosomal RNA is filed under the name uncultured bacterium. RNAcentral describes it as "partial 16S ribosomal RNA". It matches the Rfam family "Bacterial small subunit ribosomal RNA", at positions 524 to 776 of the family's 1533-position model. The record is from RNAcentral.
UACGUAUGGUGCGAGCGUUAUCCGGAUUUACUGGGUGUAAAGGGAGCGCAGGCGGCACGACAAGCCUGAUGUGAAAGCCCGCGGCCCAACCGCGGGACUGCAUUGGGAACUACCGGGCUGGAGUGCCGGAGAGGUAGGCGGAAUUCCUAGUGUAGCGGUGAAAUGCGUAGAUAUUAGGAGGAACACCAGUGGCGAAGGCGGCCUACUGGACGGUGACUGACGCUGAGGCUCGAAAGCGUGGGGAGCAAACAGG